AGGUGGAACUUUACCUAGCGAGAUCACCGCAAUCUUUCAUUCAUCGUUGUUUGUGCGAAUCAAAGCAUGGCAUAACCAGAUCUAUUCCUCUGUGAUGAAAGCUACAUUGAGGUAAUCCUCGUUCCUCUAUUUGCUUUCCCUUUUUCUUUACAAGAUCUGAUUGGCAUGCAGGUAAUGGGCCCAAAGAGAGAUCUAAGGCUGUGAAUUUGUUGAGAAAGGGCAACAGAUCUGAGAAUUGUGCUGGAUACAUCUGGCCAUAGAUCCAAUGUCAAAACUCAUGGAAAGCAUAAUCCAGAUCUGACAGUCAGAUCGAAUUAAAUAAGAUAACAGAAACUGAUGAAUAUUCUGAGAGAAAAUAUAGGGAAUGAGGCUUACUAUAGGUAGGUAGAAAAGUAGAAAAUAAAGAAGGAAACAGGCUGUUGUUUGGUGUAUGUGAAAGAAAAUAGGAAUAGAGAAAAGUGGUCAUGUCAUAUGGGAGACAAAUUGUUUUAGACAUUAGACCUUGUGUUGUUUUUGGUAAUUACUAACAUGCUUUUGGGUGUGAAAAGAAAAUCCUAAGGUUCAAUUAGUAUUCACUCCAAGCAUCAAGAAUCGCAAGAAGGUAAGUCCAAGCAAAUGGAAUGAGUCGUCAGGCAACAAUCUCAAUAGAAAAUCAUUUGACCAAGCUUAAUGACCGUGGCAUUGAAGUAUUGAGGCAGCAAUUAAAUUCCAAGAUUCAACAGUGUUAAGUUGAAGCAGCAUAUAAAGACCAAGCUUCAACAGUGUUGAAUCCAAAAGGUAUAAGAGAAUCCAAGUCACUGAUGUGGAAUCCAAGCUAAGAAAGAUGGCAUGAUGGAUGGAGAUUAAGAGUUGCUGUUGACAGUCUACAAUGGGAAUUGCGGUCAUCCGUAAUGAUGAGAGACUGAAGAGCUUCAUAAACAAAUCAUAUUGAAGAACUCUUUGUUAGAUGAUCAAGAUUAUUUGAGUAUUAUUGCUUUAUUAUUAUGUAAUCUUGGCGUUGAUGUCCACAAGAAAGAAAACCUUAUAAAAGACUUAAAAAGACAAAA
Long non-coding RNA from Macadamia integrifolia, 1046 nucleotides. RefSeq lists it as uncharacterized. The transcript has 2 exons. NCBI's taxonomy places the organism in Eukaryota, Viridiplantae, Streptophyta, Magnoliopsida, Proteales, Proteaceae. The record is from RefSeq and is a predicted model, not a curated record.